This 64-nucleotide transfer RNA is filed under the name Ceriodaphnia cornuta. RNAcentral's name for it is "tRNA-Pro". The record is from RNAcentral. Lineage: Eukaryota; Metazoa; Arthropoda; Branchiopoda; Diplostraca; Daphniidae.
CAAAAAGUAGUUUAAGUAAAAUUUAAACUUUGGGAGUUUAAGAUAUGGUUAUCCAUCUUUUUGA